Capsicum annuum is the source of this 107-nucleotide non-coding RNA. The record is from Rfam. NCBI's taxonomy places the organism in Eukaryota, Viridiplantae, Streptophyta, Magnoliopsida, Solanales, Solanaceae.
UGAUGAUGGUGAGGGAUAUUUCUGAGCAUACUCUUAAAUCUCUCCCAAGCUUUGUGGAGAUUGUCUCAGUCUUUCUGUCUAAAAUUAAAGAUUUAACUCCUCAAGCA